This 68-nucleotide transfer RNA is filed under the name Pararge aegeria (speckled wood butterfly). Its description in RNAcentral is "tRNA-Ala". It matches the Rfam family "tRNA". From Rfam's summary of the family: Transfer RNA (tRNA) molecules are approximately 80 nucleotides in length. Their secondary structure includes four short double-helical elements and three loops (D, anti-codon, and T loops). The record is from RNAcentral. Lineage: Eukaryota; Metazoa; Arthropoda; Insecta; Lepidoptera; Nymphalidae. RNAcentral also lists the same sequence under 1 other name.
AGGAUUAUAGUUUAUAAAUUAAAACAUUUGAUUUGCAAUCAAAAAAUAUUGAAAAUCAAUUUAUCUUA